ACCUCCUACAAAGGUGUGUCAGUGGUUUCCUGUCCUUGGACACGUAAGAAUUAGAGGCAAAAAGAUGUGUACUUGGAAAAGUCUAGAGCCCCCUUGCUCCCCACAGGCUCAAGAUCAUUCUUUCCCACAAAA
This 132-nucleotide small nucleolar RNA is filed under the name Dasypus novemcinctus (nine-banded armadillo). Its description in RNAcentral is "Small nucleolar RNA SNORA38 (ENSDNOG00000041661.1)". It matches the Rfam family "Small nucleolar RNA SNORA38". Rfam says of the family: ACA38 is a member of the H/ACA class of snoRNA that guide the sites of modification of uridines to pseudouridines. The record is from RNAcentral. Lineage: Eukaryota; Metazoa; Chordata; Mammalia; Cingulata; Dasypodidae.